CCUACGGGAGGCAGCAGUGAGGAAUAUUGGUCAAUGGGCGAGAGCCUGAACCAGCCAAGUCGCGUGAGGGAAGACGGUCCUACGGAUUGUAAACCUCUUUUGUCAGGGAGCAAGGAGCGCCACGAGGGGUGAGGCGAGAGUACCUGAAGAAAAAGCAUCGGCUAACUCCGUGCCAGCAGCCGCGGUAAUACGGAGGAUGCGAGCGUUAGUCGGAUUUAUUGGGUUUAAAGGGUGGGCAGGCGGAAGCGGCAAGUCAGCGGUAAAUUUGCGGGGCUCAACCUCGCCGAGCCGUUGAAACUGCUCGUCUAGAGUGGGCGAGAAGUAUGCGGAAUGCGUGGUGUAGCGGUGAAAUGCAUAGAUAUCACGCAGAACUCCGAUUGCGAAGGCAGCAUACCGGCGCCCAACUGACGCUCAUGCACGAAAGCGUGGGUAUCGAACAGGAUUAGAUACCCGUGUAGUC
Molecule: ribosomal RNA, 460 nt
Filed under: uncultured bacterium
Lineage: Bacteria
Description: partial 16S ribosomal RNA
Rfam family: Bacterial small subunit ribosomal RNA
Source: RNAcentral